Pelobates cultripes (western spadefoot toad) is the source of this 206-nucleotide non-coding RNA. Lineage: Eukaryota; Metazoa; Chordata; Amphibia; Anura; Pelobatidae. The record is from the annotation of a GenBank genome assembly.
CCCGACUCCUCCCUACUACCUUUCUUGUAAAUGCGCACAACAUUUGCAAACUUCCAAUCUUUUGGGACUACUCCUGUUAACAAUGAUUAGUUAAAUAAAUCUGUUAAUGGUUUUGCUAGUGCACCACUAAGCUCUUUUAAUAACUUUGGGUGUAUUCCAUCAGGUCCCAUUGACUUAUUUGUCUUUACUGACAGUUGAAAUAGAAC